Molecule: long non-coding RNA, 738 nt
Organism: Anthonomus grandis grandis
Lineage: Eukaryota; Metazoa; Arthropoda; Insecta; Coleoptera; Curculionidae
Exons: 2
Source: RefSeq, a predicted model, not a curated record
UCUCUAAAAAUCAUCAAAUUCCUAGUCGAAUAUCCGAAUAUAUCGGAACGGCUGUCAACUCCCGCUGCUGUUCUGGCUGACAUUGCCAUCGCCAUCCUCACGUCAUAUGUCAUUCGGUUUCAAUAUAUUUAAUUAAGAGACUAAAGUUCUAAACACUAUAAACUUCCUACCCAAAUUAAUAUUUAGUGUCCAGUGCCUGUCAAACGAGAUUAGUGCUCUUCACAAAAUAGGAAUAGGAAAGAAGGAAUUAGCUACCUAUUUAUAAAUCCAAUAAUCCCGGUUUGGUUUUCAACUUUUUAUUAUGAACAUUAAAUUAGUAUGAAGACCAUUCCACAAAAUGUCUAUGUUUAUGGGUGACGUAAAGGCAAAACAUAAAUGCUAUGUCCCAGGCUGCAUAGGGCUGUAUUCUAGCCGCUACGUUUUUUCAACGGAUGCCAAAUAUAGACAGCAAUGGAUAAUUAUUAUUAAAAAUCCUUGCUUAGAAAGCACUAGUGAAAUAAUUCAAACAGAACACUGCGUUUGUGCCAAUCAUUUUGCCCCAGAGUUCAUUCUACCCCCAAUCAUCAGACCAAAACACUAAGUAUCAAAGCACUUAGAGAGGAUAAGUUGUACCACGUGAUAUGGUACAUGAAUGUAGCCAUAUUUUCUAAUUAUUAUUCUUUUGUAGUACUGAACAUAAUUAAUUUUAUGUCUAAAUAGAAUAUUGGUGUUUUUUCUAAAUAUAAUAUUAAAUUAAAA